GAAUUUUGGACAAUGGGCGCAAGCCUGAUCCAGCAAUGCCGCGUGUGUGAAGAAGGCCUUCGGGUUGUAAAGCACUUUUAUCAGGGAAGAAAUCCUGCGGGCUAAUACCCUGUGGGGAUGACGGUACCUGAGGAAUAAGCACCGGCUAACUUCGUGCCAGCAGCCGCGGUAAUACGAAGGGUGCAAGCGUGAAUCGGAAUUACUGGGCGUAAAGGGUGCGUAGGCGGUUCGUUAAGUCGGAUGGGAAAGCCCUGGGCUCAACCUGGGAAUGGCAUCCGAAACUGGCGGGCUGGAGUGCGGUAGAGGAUGGUGGAAUUCCCGGUGUAGCGGUGAAAUGCGUAGAGAUCGGGAGGAACACCAGUGGCGAAGGCGGCCAUCUGGACCAGCACUGACGCUGAGGCACGAAAGCGUGGGGAGCAAACAG
RNAcentral lists this ribosomal RNA (424 nucleotides) under uncultured bacterium. Its description in RNAcentral is "bacterial SSU rRNA". It matches the Rfam family "Bacterial small subunit ribosomal RNA", at positions 359 to 775 of the family's 1533-position model. The record is from RNAcentral.